GGUGGAGAUGGUCGAGAAAUUGAGACACAUGGUUCUGCUGUCCUGGGUAACUUCUGCGACAAGCGCAUUCGAUGGUACAAAAGACAUAAUGGAAGCUCUUAGAAACAAACAUACUAAUCUAGCCAAUGAGCUUGAGGUAAAUAUCAUAUUAUUAUGUUCUCUAAAAUCAUGUUAAGCUUUACUUUAUUUAUUUUGCUACAUUUUGCUUUGAUUUUCUUUUACGGUAUUUGGCUACGUGCUUGGUAAUACUGAUUUUGAAGGCUGAUUUGUUUGCCUGUCUAGAAAAACAUAACAGAUUUAAUGGAGGGCUUGGUAGAGCGUAUUCGUGCCUUGUCAUUUCAAAGCAUUGUGCGCUAGGAAAUUUCUUGGUUUGACUACGUCUCAAAUUCCAGGUACGAUAAAGACUUCUUAUUUCUUAUUGUUUAUUUUCUAAUACACAUAUACAGAUUUAAUGGAGGGCUUGGUACAAGGCUCUUAGUUGAUGCGCUAAAUGUCCGACGCUUAGCAGGAGAUAACCUGGCCCUUAUAAUGCAGUCCAUAGCUACACUAAUAACUAGAUUUGCCAUACGCUUAGCAGGAGAUAACCUGGCCCUUAUAAUGCAGUGAAUAGGUUGAACCUAUAGGUAUAUACAUCUGUGGUAGUUGACUGUAUCUCUUGUCAUCAGUAUUGUAAUUGUUUUAGGACAGUUUAGUGAAUAUGUUAGUAAGUGCAUCUUAUAAUAUGCAUAAGCAAAUAAGGUGAAGCUAUAUGUAUAUACCUAGAUAAAACGGUACAAUAUUUAUGAGCAAUAAAAUGUGAAAAAAUAGAGGAGUAGAAAACAUUGCCACGAGCAAUUUGAACAAAUGAAUUGGGAUGUGCUUUCUAAUUCCCCGAGUCAAAAGCUACAAUAGUAAGUAGGAGUAGAAAAGCAUGGGGUUAGUUGGUUAGGUCCUAAUCAGACAAACAGAUCUAUCAUUGAGGAAAAUACCCAAUUAGUAGUUUCAGAGAAUUCAUUCAUUCCAAAUGGGCUCCAACACUGCUAAUCAGAUUAAAAGUUUUUUCAUUGCAAUAGUAAACAUCGUAGUGAUUUGACAAAAAAGACGCAGCCUGUAUGCAGAGGUGUUAUAUCUGCACAACAUAUGAAUAUUUAUGGUUCCCAUGUGCACUCUAGGUUGUGCACUAGCUUUUAAGUUUGUUGCUAUAUUAAGUGGUCACAGAAGCAUGAUACUGAGGUGGCACUAGGUUGAAUUUCCUUGUUUGCUGGACUUGGAUGCCAUUCAAGCUACCAAACUGAACGAGUACCAUGCUGGUAAUGGAAGAGUACCAUACUAAAGUAGUUUGCAUGCAUAAACAGAAUUCUGAAGAAGUACCAUUUCCAGGUCACUUGACAUCCAAGAGCGAUGUGUGCAGCUUUAGGGUGGUGCUGCUGGAGCUCAUGAUAGGCAGACGGUCAAUGGACAAGAGCCGAUCAGCAGG
Molecule: long non-coding RNA, 1456 nt
Filed under: Zea mays
Lineage: Eukaryota; Viridiplantae; Streptophyta; Magnoliopsida; Poales; Poaceae
Description: long non-coding RNA (ZMAY_LNC003633)
Source: RNAcentral